CACUAUCUUUACAAAUUCUGCUAUAUGGAAUGUGUCUGGAAUGUCUGAAACAUUGAAAACAAUUGUAAAAAUGACCACCUUUUGGGUCGACCUUCCAUACACCCAAACCGACCCGAAAUCUCGAUUUCCAGUGCUGGUGAGCUAUCACUGCCCUUUCAAUAACUUAUUGCCUCUAUAAUCUAUAUUGCACUAAUAGAAGAUUCAAAGUCUCUGCAAAAAGAAAUUAACAAUCCAUAUUAUAUUUCAAAUUGCUAAAUAAUUUAUUUAAAUGCUGAAAAAAUAUCCACUAAAGGAG
Molecule: unclassified non-coding RNA, 295 nt
Filed under: Hevea brasiliensis (rubber tree)
Lineage: Eukaryota; Viridiplantae; Streptophyta; Magnoliopsida; Malpighiales; Euphorbiaceae
Source: RNAcentral